RNAcentral lists this ribosomal RNA (459 nucleotides) under Selenomonas sputigena. Its description in RNAcentral is "bacterial SSU rRNA". It matches the Rfam family "Bacterial small subunit ribosomal RNA", at positions 28 to 470 of the family's 1533-position model. The record is from RNAcentral. Lineage: Bacteria; Bacillati; Bacillota; Negativicutes; Selenomonadales; Selenomonadaceae.
GACGAACGCUGGCGGCGUGCUUAACACAUGCAAGUCGAACGGGAACCUUUAUUUCGGUAAAGGUGAGAGUGGCAAACGGGUGAGUAACACGUAGGCAACCUGCCGACAGGAUGGGGACAACAUUCCGAAAGGAAUGCUAAUACCGAAUGGAGUCCGAGGAUGGCAUCAUCCACGGAUAAAAGAUGGCCUCUUAACAAUGCUAUCGCCUGUCGAUGGGCCUGCGUCUGAUUAGCCAGUUGGCGGGGUAACGGCCCACCAAAGCGACGAUCAGUAGCCGGUCUGAGAGGAUGAACGGCCACAUUGGGACUGAGACACGGCCCAGACUCCUACGGGAGGCAGCAGUGGGGAAUCUUCCACAAUGGGCGAAAGCCUGAUGGAGCAACGCCGCGUGAGUGAAGAAGGUCUUCGGAUCGUAAAGCUCUGUUGCACGGGACGAAAACCGAGUUUGAGAAUAUGAAA